AUCGCUUCUCGGCCUUUUGGCUAAGAUCAAGUGUAGUAUUUAUUUUUAUUUAUUUGAAAGAGAGCCGUG
Molecule: small nuclear RNA, 69 nt
Filed under: Lynx canadensis (Canada lynx)
Lineage: Eukaryota; Metazoa; Chordata; Mammalia; Carnivora; Felidae
Description: U2 spliceosomal RNA (ENSLCNG00005016113.1)
Rfam family: U2 spliceosomal RNA
About the family: U2 is a small nuclear RNA (snRNA) component of the spliceosome (involved in pre-mRNA splicing). Complementary binding between U2 snRNA (in an area lying towards the 5' end but 3' to hairpin I) and the branchpoint sequence (BPS) of the intron results the bulging out of an unpaired adenosine, on the BPS, which initiates a nucleophilic attack at the intronic 5' splice site, thus starting the first of two transesterification reactions that mediate splicing.
Source: Rfam by way of RNAcentral